GAGUUUUUCCAAAUUUUCAAUUUUCUUAAUCUGCCUAUUUUUGUUCAUCUGAUUUGGUUCUUGAUAAGACACAUAGCAUACACCCAAGGAAAUGUGUACUACAUGCACAAUAAAUUUUGAAGUCAUACGCAAUAAAUUUCACAAUAAUUUUUGAAGUCAUAUACAAUAAAUUGCACUAUUUUGAUAUUUUUUUUGGUUUUUGCUUCAUUGAACCCAUGAGUGGUUGAU
RNAcentral lists this unclassified non-coding RNA (228 nucleotides) under Hevea brasiliensis (rubber tree). Lineage: Eukaryota; Viridiplantae; Streptophyta; Magnoliopsida; Malpighiales; Euphorbiaceae. The record is from RNAcentral.